RNAcentral lists this long non-coding RNA (331 nucleotides) under Sphaeramia orbicularis (orbiculate cardinalfish). RNAcentral describes it as "lncRNA (ENSSORG00005005370.1)". Lineage: Eukaryota; Metazoa; Chordata; Actinopteri; Kurtiformes; Apogonidae. The record is from RNAcentral.
CGCGGCGCCUGACAGAUGGAGGUGGUUUGACUCGGUGUCAGUGCUGAAAAUAUUUGGGCAUUACACAGAGGAAUUCAAUUUUUUUUAUCUGCAAUGAGAGCCGAACAGACAGAAAAUGGAGAAAACUCAACGAACUCGCAGAGUGAAAUGCUGAUUAAUCAGUUAAAGGAGAUCACCGGCAUCCAGGACCCACAGAUUCUCCACAGAGCACUGAAUGCCAGCCAGGGUGACAUUGGACAUGCUGUUGGACUGUUGACAACCCAGACGGCAGAGGUUCAGGAUCCAGGGGAGGCACAGCAGCCUGGAACAACAGGACAGAACUGGGAAGGCC